UACAGAGGUGGCAAGCGUUGUUCGGAAUUACUGGGCGUAAAGGGCGCGUAGGCGGUUCGUUAAGUCCUGUGUGAAAUCUCCCAGCUUAACUGGGAAACUGCCAUUGAAACUGUUUAUCUUGAGUACAUUUGAGGCGGGCGGAAUGUGUCAUGUAGAGGUGAAAUUCUUAGAUAUGACACAGAACACCAAUUGCGAAGGCAGCUCGCUAAACUGUAACUGACGCUGAGGCACGAAAGCGUGGGGAUCAAACAGG
Molecule: ribosomal RNA, 253 nt
Filed under: uncultured bacterium
Lineage: Bacteria
Description: partial 16S ribosomal RNA
Rfam family: Bacterial small subunit ribosomal RNA
Source: RNAcentral